AAGCUUUGUCCGGAUUUACUGGGCGUAAAGAGCGCGCAGGCGGUCGAUCAAGUCGGGUGUGAAAGCCCCCGGCUCAACUGGGGAGGGUCAUUCGAAACUGGUCGACUCGAAGGCAGGAGAGGGUAGUGGAAUUCCCGGUGUAGUGGUGAAAUGCGUAGAUAUCGGGAGGAACACCAGUGGCGAAGGCGACUACCUGGCCUGUUCUUGACGCUGAGGCGCGAAAGCUAGGGGAGCAAACGGG
This 241-nucleotide ribosomal RNA is filed under the name uncultured bacterium. RNAcentral describes it as "partial 16S ribosomal RNA". It matches the Rfam family "Bacterial small subunit ribosomal RNA", at positions 536 to 776 of the family's 1533-position model. The record is from RNAcentral.